This 759-nucleotide long non-coding RNA is filed under the name Nicotiana tabacum (common tobacco). RNAcentral describes it as "long non-coding RNA (NTAB_LNC017906)". Lineage: Eukaryota; Viridiplantae; Streptophyta; Magnoliopsida; Solanales; Solanaceae. The record is from RNAcentral.
UUACACUCACAAUAGAUCAAAAAAUCAGAUGUACACACCAGCAAAAUCCUCCCAAAAAUCAACACAAAACCCUAAACAAUUUUCUCUACUUUUCAAGUUCUAGUUGGAGAAAAACCUAAGAGUUGAAGAAUCAAGAUAGGAGCUGAGAUAUUCACAAAAUAUGGUAAGUAUACUGCCCUUUUUAAUCCAUUUUUUUCUAUUGUUAAAGUAGAUAAAUUCAUUCAAUAAUUUUAAGAACUCAAGAGACAGUGAUCGGAAGUCAUGAGUUCGAGUUGUUCAACUUGUAGUGGAAUUUUUGUGGGUUGUUUCAUAUUGUUGUUGGGUUGUCUCUUUUGCUGCCAUUUUUAUGGAGUUUUGGAGGAGAAAGAAUGUGGAAAAAUACCACAUAAUGGUAUGAUGGUUGGCUGGUCAUCGUCGCUACAUUUUUGGGUUGUUUGAUACUACUAUGGUUGUCAUUUUGUGUAUGGAAUGAUCGGGGUAUGUUGGGAUAUUUUGUGGUAUUUUGUGAUGGAUAUUAUGUUUGAAAAUGAUGUAUAUAUGUUGUUAUUGUUGUGUUCUUGCGUUGUUGGUGUUAUGUCGAAUUAGGGGGAAGUAAAGAUUAUAGGGGAAAUGCUGCCCGUUUUGUUACAAAAUAAGCUUGUCGUUCGUUGUGUGAUAGUUGUACCUUGCAUAAUUUGAUGAUAGUAUUGUUAUAACUAUUGUAGAUUAAGGUGCAACAAGACAAGUUUAACGUGGUUAUUGGACAUAUUGUGAUAAGGU